RNAcentral lists this ribosomal RNA (181 nucleotides) under uncultured bacterium. RNAcentral describes it as "partial 16S ribosomal RNA". It matches the Rfam family "Bacterial small subunit ribosomal RNA", at positions 1321 to 1500 of the family's 1533-position model. The record is from RNAcentral.
UGAAGCUGGAAUCGCUAGUAAUCGCAGAUCAGAAUGCUGCGGUGAAUACGUUCCCGGGUCUUGUACACACCGCCCGUCACACCAUGGGAGUUGGAAAUGCCCGAAGCCAGUGACCCAACCGUAACGGAGGGAGCUGUCGAAGGUGGAGCCGAUGACUGGGGUGAAGUCGUAACAAGGUAUC